GCGCCCAUAGCUCAGAUGGAUAGAGUAUUGGUUUCCGAAGCCAAGGGUCGCAGGUUCGAAUCCUGCUGGGCGCACCA
Molecule: transfer RNA, 77 nt
Filed under: Sulfuriferula plumbiphila
Lineage: Bacteria; Pseudomonadati; Pseudomonadota; Betaproteobacteria; Nitrosomonadales; Sulfuricellaceae
Also listed under: 8 other names
Description: tRNA-Arg
Rfam family: tRNA
About the family: Transfer RNA (tRNA) molecules are approximately 80 nucleotides in length. Their secondary structure includes four short double-helical elements and three loops (D, anti-codon, and T loops).
Source: RNAcentral